Molecule: non-coding RNA, 2189 nt
Organism: Pseudonaja textilis
Lineage: Eukaryota; Metazoa; Chordata; Lepidosauria; Squamata; Elapidae
Source: RefSeq, a predicted model, not a curated record
UUCUACAAGUGGGUCACCCAGUUGCUGAUCCUUCCAGUAAAUUAAUUACAUAACUGAAAUCUUUAAUCAUCGUCAAUGGAGCAAAAGCUUAAUUUUCCUACGGUUGAGUUCCUUGCGUUCAGGAUUUUUUCAUAGGGGUGGGAGAAAUCAAUUCCUUUUUACUAAGGUGACUUUCUUAUACGGAUUCUCUACUUAACGCUUCAUAGUCUUAACGGCCUUUCAGGUGUAUCAAAUUUUGCUAAGGAAAGCGGGACGAGUAUAUAUAUUUUGCAAAAAAAAAACAAAAAAACAACCCAGUAACUACGUUAAGGUGAUUUAACUUUUUUUGAGAUGUGUCUUGUACGCCUGAUCCUCUUUUUAACAGGAGUUUUUUUAAUUGUGCAUUUUUGUAAUGUGUGACUUUUUUUUUAAAAUCCUGGUGGGAUGUUAGAACUUUGCCUUUGAAAUAGUUGCCUGAUCAAAUGGGAAGAAAAUGGCUUUGUGGGAUGGUAGUAUGUGAAGCAGGUAUAGGUAGGCCUGUGGUUAGCCAGGUCAGUAGAUCAGUUAAUUUGGCAGGAAAGAGGCCUGGUGAAAUAUAAGCAUUAUUUACUAAGUAAUCGUGCUUAGCAGGAGAACCUGACAUGAGGGUCUCAGGCCAUAGAAUCUUUAUUAGUCUUAAGUGAAAAUACCUCUUUGAAGUGAAUAUGGUGAUCAGAAAUGAAGGGAAGUUGUGAGGGAUUCAGCCUUGGGGACCUGUUGGCCUUUCAGGUGGUCUAAAUGAUCUCUUUUCCCCAUGGGAUGGUGCUGAUGAGGAUUUCUAAAACCAGGCUUCCCAGCCACACAACUUUUAAGACACGUGGACGUCAACAAUUCCCAAGCCAACUUCUGGAAGUUGACAUCUGCACACCUUAAAAGUUUCAUGGUUGGGAAACCCUGGGCUAAGAAGUUGUUUGGCUUAGCAACCUCUGAAGCCUCCACAAAUCCAAGUCCUUUUUCUGGGCACAAACUGGGCCUUCUCUGAUGUCGUCCAGAUGUGACGGCCCAACUCUCAAAACUUCCCAGACUGACCACCCGAUUGCAGUAGCUCUACCAGUGCCUUUGUGUGCCGUGCGGUGGUGAUGUGGAGAAGAGGAGAAAGGUUGGUUGGUUGGUUGAGGUGGGUGGAUGGAUGGAUGGAUGGCUGGCUGCUCCUUGGUCUUCAUCCUGGACAGGACAAAAGGGUCCUUUCCCCCCCACCCAAGGAGGAAUAGUUAGGGAGCUCCAGAAGAUAGUAUAGAGUUUCUCUCGAGAAGAUUUUAAAGCCCAUCGUAGACUUGAAAAACAAGAACCAACUGCUUCCAGACCACGAAUGGUCUCUUGGUCAACCUGGCUCUUGUCUUCUGCCAACUCGAUGGCGUUUGUGAACUUAAAAGUAGGGGUGAGCAGACCCCAUAUCUUGACUUUAUUUUUUUUUUUCAAAGCAGGUACUUUCCACAGUGAAGUUUUUGUAACUGUGCAAAAGAAGAGACGGUUAUUUUUGUACAUUUGUUUAAUAGCAAGGGGGCUGUUUGAACUGAAGGAGGGUGGUUGCUUGUAAUUAAACUGUGUAAAAAUAAUAAUAAUAAAAAAACCCCACAUCACUUUUGAUACCGUCAAGUAGAUUUUAGCUGCUGCGCGCCAGAAAGUGUACUGUGGGUAUGUUUUUACCGUGGGUGUGUAAUUUUCUUAGGCAUAUCAGCAAUCCUAAAGAUGUGUUUCACCCUGGCAGAAGGUCCGUCCUUUCAAUUCUGGUGCUUUUUGCAUGUCCUUCUUGUUAAAUUCUGGCUCUUUUCCAAAAAAAAAAAAAAAAGGUAUUUUAAAAGUUCAAAUAUGCUUGACUUUUUUUUUUUUUAAAGGAAAAGUGAACCAAACCAUCAGGAAAAUUGGAAUUCUCUGACCGGGACUGGAGAGAGAAAUCCCAUUUUUAUGCUUUUGGAAGAGACGAGAGGUGUGCAUCCUUGCCAACUUUUAAGACUAACAGACCAACUCCCAGAAUUCCACAGCCAGCAUGAGAGAAAUGGCUGCCUGGGGAAUUCUGGGAGUUGAAGUCCACUGAGUUUUGGUGUUCCUGAGCGAGGGUCUGCCUAAGCACAGCAGAACAGACAAGGAGAACCUCCUUCCACCUGCCAUAAUGAUGUAUGAAAUUGCAAAAUAGACGAGACUUAAUAAAAAAAGCAACCUCUGCCCUCUUC